This 689-nucleotide long non-coding RNA is filed under the name Heterocephalus glaber (naked mole-rat). Its description in RNAcentral is "lncRNA (ENSHGLG00000048938.1)". The record is from RNAcentral. Lineage: Eukaryota; Metazoa; Chordata; Mammalia; Rodentia; Bathyergidae.
GUCGCCCACUUCGGCCGGGCCGCCUUUUGACACGGAGCAGCAGCCUGGUCCCCUGUGCUCUGCGUGCGCCACCCUGCGCUUUGCCAAGACACUGGUCCUGUGGAGGACAGCGGCCGCCGCAGCUCUGGACACAGCUGUCCAGUGGGACUCCUGCCCGGCGUCCCUCCUGUGGUUGCAGGCGGCAUCCUCUCGGAAUUCCUUAUUUCCACCCUGACCCCCUCUCCGAACUCGGGACCUUCAACACAGCGGGACACCUUCCCCACAGUGACUCAGGACCACCUCACCAAACUUGAUGGCAGCAGUUUGAUGGCAGAGUCUCAAGUUGCUGGAGCUCAAAGGGACCUUGGAUUUUUCCAGGUCUACUUUGAUGGGAGUUUUUAUAUUUCAAAAGGUUUGAUCCAUCCUGCAAAUCACUCCAGAUCAUAACAGGCUUCUGGAUCAUUUUCCCCACCUCCAUGAACUCCACACCCGGAAGGUCUGCCUGGAAAUGCUAGCCAUGUGCGAUGUGUGCGCAUGGACUCGGAGCCAAGUCGGUCUGAAGCAGGAAGCGCAGGACCUCAGAUGGUGGCAGAGAGGAGUGUGCACCUUACUGGGGCCACCAGCCAGGGCCCUGGGAGCCAGAUUAGACCCUGAUGCUGGGUUGGGGCCCAUCUCCAGCUGCCUGUGCAUCACCAUGCAGCCCCUCAGAG